AUGGAGCUUACUGACGUGUGCCCUCUCUGUGGUCUCGAGCGCGAGGACACGUUUCAUGUGUUUUGCAGGUGCCCAAGAGCUGUUGAUCUGUGGCAAGCCAUGGCGCAAGUUUGGCGGAUACCUGAUGUUAAAUCAAUCCGCAAUACAGGACCGGAGUGGUUCCUGAAUCUCAUCGCGGAGUGUGACGAGGGUGACCGCCUCAGAGUCCUCAUGCUUAUGUGGAGAUGUUGGCACGUGCGUAACGAGAUCAAACAUGACAAGGCACCGCCACCCAUGGAGGUGUCCCGACGGUUCCUUCAAAGCUACGUCACCUCACUGUUGGGGAUCCAACAAUACCCGGUCGGGGACUGGGACAAAGGAAAGAUGGUCACUCAACUAGAGGGAGCGGAGCAGCCAAUAUCGCAUGUGGGCGUAAGCUGGAAGUCUCAGCGCAAGUGGAGCCCGCCUCCGGAAGGUUGGGCGAAGCUCAACGUGGAUGGGUCAUUCUCACACGAGGAUGGAAGCGCCGGUGACGGCAUGAUCUUGCGCGGGCACGACGGUGCCAUCAUUUUCUCUGCAUGCCGUUCGCUUCGGUCAUGCCCGGACCCAUUGCACGCUGAGUUGGCCGGGUGCACGGAGGGACUCGGCCUAGCUUUGCAGUGGACGGAGUUGCCGAUUAUCCUGGAGUGUGACAGUAUGCAGGCCGUGCAGAUGAUCAAGGCAAAAGGACCGGAUCGUUCCCAGCAUGCGAUGGUGGUCUCAGAAGUAAAGAGUCUUAUGGGUACAAGGGAGUGUUGUGUUACUCACAUCUCUAGAGAGCAAAAUAAUGUUAGUCAUGUGUUAGCAAACUUCGGUCGAACGGAGAACCGUACUGUGGUCUGGCUCCGCUCUGGACCUGCUAAUGUUCCUAGUCUGUGUAGGGAUGAAUUCGUGUGCUCUUGA
Molecule: ribosomal RNA, 921 nt
Filed under: Triticum aestivum (bread wheat)
Lineage: Eukaryota; Viridiplantae; Streptophyta; Magnoliopsida; Poales; Poaceae
Description: partial small subunit ribosomal RNA
Source: RNAcentral